Lolium rigidum is the source of this 2165-nucleotide RNA transcript. RefSeq lists it as uncharacterized. The transcript has 4 exons. The record is from RefSeq and is a predicted model, not a curated record. NCBI's taxonomy places the organism in Eukaryota, Viridiplantae, Streptophyta, Magnoliopsida, Poales, Poaceae.
CCUUCCCAUCGAUUUAGCUCGCCCAUAACCUGUUUGUGUCGGAUCCGCCCUACCCAAACUGAAUCAUAUGUGUUUGCUUUGAUUCAGUUUUGCAGAUGCUACGAGUUGCUAUUCCCGCCGUGCUGGUGCACUCCGCCGGAGCUCCAGAAACCGUCCAGGUCGCCAGGUUGCUGCUGCCGGUGUCCACCACGACCUGCUGCACCAUGGCGUUGCUCCGUCCGUCGGAAGGAGGAGAGCAUGAGGAUGAGCACAAGCAGCUGGCACAAAGGCAGGUAGUCCCAAGGUGUUUUUCUUGCUGGGUAAUGAAUGAGGCAUACACUUGUGUUUGUUAGCAGCUGGCUUUAAGGGGUUCCUUUCCUGACCUGAUGAUGGCUUGUUCUUGUUUGAAGAUAACGAGGACUAAACAAUGGCAGCGGUGUGCUUUUUCUUGGACUCCAUUUGUCCCAAUCACCAAAAAAAUUUUCCUUGUGGCUUUUUAUGCUGGGAUUGAACGUUGAACAUAGUUGUUUAGAGCAUUCAGUGCGAAAUUCAUAUCUGCAUCUAAGGAGCCCUCACAGUAUUGUUGCUGUUUGUCAUUUCUCAGGUUGUUCUUCACUAAUCAUAUCAAUGUUAGAUCUGGAGAGCUCUUUCAACAUUCAUUGCAUUGAUUUUUAUUUGACACCUGAACUUUUAAAUAUGCGCAAAUACAAUGAUGACAAGUGCGUAUGAUUUCAGAACUUCUGCAUGUGUGUCUCGUUUUUUGGUUGAUGUUUCAAAGCCGACGUGUGGCUGCUUGUGGCACCCUACUUUGUUUUGCAAUUACACGCAUAGUUGAUAAUAGGUUGGAUUCUUCUUACCUGAUGAUGCUAGCGGUACCUUGUGUUGUGACGCAAGUGGUUUUCUUAUUUACAGUGCAAUGAAACUGCUAGGGUUGGCUGUCAUACUCUUCUUGAUAGUUUAUCAAGGUUGGUGGUGAAACUGUUGCAUGUGUGUGUGUGGCGCUAGUAGGUACCAAGCUAAUUAUCUGAAUCCCAUAUGCAUAGGGUAAUUACAGUAGCUUGUGUACAUUGUUAUUUGAUGCCUAAGCAUAGAAGCUGAACCACUUGCGUUUAUGUGGUGAUUGCUUCCCUGGGUGCUCUCUGAUAUAUAUAUAUAUAUAUGGUGACAAUGCAUCGGGAUUUCAGAUCCAAUAAUAGAAGCAUUUGUCUGUUGAUGUGUUUUAUUUAACUGUCUUGGGAUGGAUUUGCGUUGCUUUUUUGCAUCAGCAUUCGGUGAUGUUUGUUGUUUUUGGUGGUGUGAAAACUUUCGUUCAUGUUUUGGGUUGUGUUGCACGAGUAUAGUAGUAUUACUGUGUGAAUUGAAGCGUAUAUAUGUUCUCUCUACAGGUUGAAUGUCUAAAAAAGGGGAUGGUCUUGGCCUCGCGCGUGGCGGUCUGGUCCACCGAGUCCUCUGGCUAAUUUGGUCAGGCCGUUCAGGCUGUGGUGGUGCACCGUGGUUGUCCCUUCUUUGACUCCAUGUGUUUUAUGGGGGAGUUUCUUGCUCCUCUCUGUGAUCUCUAAAUCUUGUUUAGUAUUUGGACCUCAAAUAUGUGUGAAGUCUGAAUUGCUUUCUUGGAUAUAGUGGAUGUACUUGCUUGUGUGAAACGAAUCGUGCUCCUGCACCUAAAGAAUGCGUUUUCCGUUUGCUUGUUCUAGUUAGGUGCAUAUCUUGUAUGUUGGACCGCAGGUUGGAUCCUCCUAUGCUGGUUCCGUUCCGCCAUGUAGACAUGUUGAUAGUUGUUGUCCACAAAAAAUGAUUUAUUUGCUUCAAUGGUGAAUUGAUUGGUUAUGUAGACAUGUUCAUUGGUUGGGACUUAAUUUUUUAGUAGUUGUCAUAUACUUUUGUUGGAGCACGCUGAACAUUGGCCAACAAUAUAUGCUCAUGUUGGGUUGGUCGUUGUGCUUUGUUUGCAUAUUUUGAGUAUUAUCCUCCUUUGUGAUUUACUGCAGGAGGAGCACAAGCUGCUGGCACAAAGGCAGGUAGUCCCAAGGUAUUUUUAUUGCUGGGUUGAAUGUCUAAAAAAGGGGCUAGGUCAUGCCGACAUUUUCCAUUACAUGCAGAGGGAGAUGACGAAUCUUGGCUGCACAGUCUGGAUCAAGGAGUGGCUGGAGCUGGGCAAGGGUGGCACGACGCUGAUCCCGAGGCAG